AGCGAACGCUGGCGGCAGGCCUAACACAUGCCAGUCGAACGAACUCUUCGGAGUUAGUGGCGGACGGGUGAGUAACACGUGGGAACGUGCCUUUAGGUUCGGAAUAACUCAGGGAAACUUGUGCUAAUACCGAAUGUGCCCUUCGGGGGAAAGAUUUAUCGCCUUUAGAGCGGCCCGCGUCUGAUUAGCUAGUUGGUGAGGUAAAGGCUCACCAAGGCGACGAUCAGUAGCUGGUCUGAGAGGAUGAUCAGCCACAUUGGGACUGAGACACGGCCCAAACUCCUACGGGAGGCAGCAGUGGGGAAUCUUGCGCAAUGAGCGAAAGCCUGACGCAGCCAUGCCGCGUGAAUGAUGAAGGUCUUAGGAUUGUAAAAUUCUUUCACCGGGGACGAUAAUGACGGUACCCGGAGAAGAAGCCCCGGCUAACUUCGUG
RNAcentral lists this ribosomal RNA (433 nucleotides) under uncultured bacterium. RNAcentral describes it as "partial 16S ribosomal RNA". It matches the Rfam family "Bacterial small subunit ribosomal RNA", at positions 29 to 507 of the family's 1533-position model. The record is from RNAcentral.